This is a non-coding RNA of Cinara cedri, 265 nucleotides long. Lineage: Eukaryota; Metazoa; Arthropoda; Insecta; Hemiptera; Aphididae. The record is from the annotation of a GenBank genome assembly.
CACCGUCGAACGUAAAAUCAGAUUUAAAAAGACGCACAUUACGAUAGCCGGUGUCGAAAAUAGGAAAACGGUUGGAGAAAAAAAAUAUACGUUUUUCGGUUCAGUGUUCUAUUUCGAGGGAAAAUGUACUGUUAUUCAAUUAUUAUGUAUUAUUUAGACGCAUUUAUGGAAUAAGUCAAGACUGUCUGUCGGAAUAUUAUACUACAGUGUGAGGUCAGGAGUAGUAUUGAUUAGAAGAACUAAUUCGGUACGUAAUAUCAACGGG